This 468-nucleotide ribosomal RNA is filed under the name uncultured bacterium. RNAcentral's name for it is "partial 16S ribosomal RNA". It matches the Rfam family "Bacterial small subunit ribosomal RNA", at positions 28 to 507 of the family's 1533-position model. The record is from RNAcentral.
GACGAACGCUGGCGGCGUGCUUAACACAUGCAAGUCGAACGGAAAGGCCCUGCUUUUGUGGGGUGCUCGAGUGGCGAACGGGUGAGUAACACGUGAGUAACCUGCCCUUGACUUUGGGAUAACUUCAGGAAACUGGGGCUAAUACCGGAUAGGAGCUCCUGCUGCAUGGUGGGGGUUGGAAAGUUUCGGCGGUUGGGGAUGGACUCGCGGCUUAUCAGCUUGUUGGUGGGGUAGUGGCUUACCAAGGCUUUGACGGGUAGCUGGCCUGAGAGGGUGACCGGCCACAUUGGGACUGAGAUACGGCCCAGACUCCUACGGGAGGCAGCAGUGGGGAAUAUUGCACAAUGGGCGGAAGCCUGAUGCAGCAACGCCGCGUGCGGGAUGACGGCCUUCGGGUUGUAAACCGCUUUCGCCUGUGACGAAGCGGGAGUGACGGUAAUGGGUAAAGAAGCACCGGCUAACUACGUG